This 497-nucleotide ribosomal RNA is filed under the name uncultured bacterium. RNAcentral's name for it is "partial 16S ribosomal RNA". It matches the Rfam family "Bacterial small subunit ribosomal RNA", at positions 28 to 507 of the family's 1533-position model. The record is from RNAcentral.
GAUGAACGCUGGCGGCGUGCCUAAUACAUGCAAGUCGAGCGAACAGAUAAGGAGCUUGCUCCUUUGACGUUAGCGGCGGACGGGUGAGUAACACGUGGAUAACCUACCUAUAAGACUGGGAUAACUUCGGGAAACCGGAGCUAAUACCGGAUAACAUAUUGAACCACAUGGUUCAAUAGUGAAAGGCGGCUUUGCUGUCACGUAUAGAUGGAUCCGCGCCGUAUUAGCUAGUUGGUAAGGUAACGGCUUACCAAGGCAACGAUACGUAGCCGACCUGAGAGGGUGAUCGGCCACACUGGAACUGAGACACGGUCCAGACUCCUACGGGAGGCAGCAGUAGGGAAUCUUCCGCAAUGGGCGAAAGCCUGACGGAGCAACGCCGCGUGAGUGAUGAAGGUCUUCGGAUCGUAAAACUCUGUUAUCAGGGAAGAACAAAUGUGUAAGUAACUGUGCACAUCUUGACGGUACCUGAUCAGAAAGCCACGGCUAACUACGUG